This 452-nucleotide ribosomal RNA is filed under the name uncultured Geobacter sp. Its description in RNAcentral is "bacterial SSU rRNA". It matches the Rfam family "Bacterial small subunit ribosomal RNA", at positions 74 to 526 of the family's 1533-position model. Lineage: Bacteria; Pseudomonadati; Thermodesulfobacteriota; Desulfuromonadia; Geobacterales; Geobacteraceae. The record is from RNAcentral.
GAGAGCUUGCUCUCAUGAAAGUGGCGCACGGGUGAGUAACACGUGGAUAAUCUGCCUGGCGAUUCGGGAUAACACUUCGAAAGGGGUGCUAAUACCGGAUAAGCCCACGGUCUCUUUGGAGAGCGCGGGAAAAGGGGGCCUCUGUAUAUGCUCCUGUCGCUAGAUGAGUCCGCGGCCCAUUAGCUAGUUGGUAGGGUAAUGGCCUACCAAGGCUAUGACGCCUAGGGGAGCUGAGAGGCUGACCCCCACCGAUGGUACUGAGACACGGACCAUACACCUACGGGUGGCUGCAGUCGAGAAUCUUCCACAAUGGACGAAAGUCUGAUGGAGCGACGCCGCGUGAUUGAUGAAGUCCCUCUGGGACGUAAAGAUCUUUUAUGAGGGAAGAAGUUUAUUGACUGUACCUCAUGAAUAARAGGCUCCUAAUCUCGUGCCAGCAGCCGCGGUAAUAC